Small nuclear RNA from Trichechus manatus latirostris (Florida manatee), 107 nucleotides. Lineage: Eukaryota; Metazoa; Chordata; Mammalia; Sirenia; Trichechidae. The record is from RefSeq and is a predicted model, not a curated record.
GUUUUCACUUUGGCAGCACAUAUACUAAAAUUGAAACAAUAUAGAGAAGAUUAGCAUGACCACUAUACAAGGAUGACAUGCAAGUUUGUGAAACAUUCCAUAUUUUU